UAAGGUGAUAUGAACCGUUAUAACCGGCGAUACCCGAAUGGGGAAACCCAGUGUGACUCGUCACACUAUCAUUAACUGAAUCCAUAGGUUAAUGAGGCGAACCGGGGGAACUGAAACAUCUAAGUACCCCGAGGAAAAGAAAUCAACCGAGAUUCCCCCAGUAGCGGCGAGCGAACGGGGAGGAGCCCAGAGCCUGAAUCAGCAUGUGUGUUAGUGGAAGCGUCUGGAAAGGCGCGCGAUACAGGGUGACAGCCCCGUACACAAAAGCGCAUGUGCUGUGAGCUCGAUGAGUAGGGCGGGACACGUGGUAUCCUGUCUGAAUAUGGGGGGACCAUCCUCCAAGGCUAAAUACUCCUGACUGACCGAUAGUGAACCAGUACCGUGAGGGAAAGGCGAAAAGAACCCCGGCGAGGGGAGUGAAAAAGAACCUGAAACCGU
Molecule: ribosomal RNA, 438 nt
Filed under: Salmonella enterica
Lineage: Bacteria; Pseudomonadati; Pseudomonadota; Gammaproteobacteria; Enterobacterales; Enterobacteriaceae
Also listed under: 2 other names
Description: partial 23S ribosomal RNA
Rfam family: Bacterial large subunit ribosomal RNA
Source: RNAcentral